RNAcentral lists this ribosomal RNA (253 nucleotides) under uncultured bacterium. RNAcentral describes it as "partial 16S ribosomal RNA". It matches the Rfam family "Bacterial small subunit ribosomal RNA", at positions 524 to 776 of the family's 1533-position model. The record is from RNAcentral.
UACAGAGGGUGCAAACGUUGCUCGGAAUUAUUGGGCGUAAAGCGCACGUAGGCGGUUCGUUAAGUCGGAUGUGAAAGCCCUCGGCUCAACUGAGGAAGUGCACCCGAAACUGGCGAGCUUGAGUACGAAAGAGGAUCGCGGAAUUCCCGGUGUAGAGGUGAAAUUCGUAGAUAUCGGGAGGAACACCGGUGGCGAAGGCGGCGAUCUGGGUCGAUACUGACGCUGAGGUGCGAAAGCGUGGGGAGCAAACAGG